This 906-nucleotide long non-coding RNA is filed under the name Cyanistes caeruleus (blue tit). RNAcentral describes it as "lncRNA (ENSCCEG00000008173.1)". Lineage: Eukaryota; Metazoa; Chordata; Aves; Passeriformes; Paridae. The record is from RNAcentral.
UGUAUUGGGGCAGCCCUCCCAGUUCCUGCCUGUUGACUUGUUCCUUCCUUAUCAAUCUCACAUGUCAGGUUGCCUUGCUAAGUGCUGCAAAGCUGCUGUUGGCCUUGGGCUGCAGAGGGCUGUGCAGAAAGUGCCUUUACCCAGCUGCAUCAGCCUAAGGAGCAUCCCCAGAGCAUCACUGGAGAAAGCAUUGUGAAAUGGGUGUUUUCUUGUCAUGGGGAGAUACCCAGCCCUGUGUGAGCUGUACUCCAUUCCAUCAGGUGAGGUGUUGAUAAAUCAAUGAAUGGGUGGUGGCACAAAGUUUAGAUGAGGACAAGUUGUGUACCCCCAGAGAAAGGGAAAUAGCAAAUCACAGAACAGAAUGCAGAAUGUCUGCCUUCUUUUUCCCUUCAUACUCACAAGUAUUCCUCAUGUGAUGAACAUUUUGUGUGUCUGUGAAAAGCCAGCUGUGCUGGAAUAGAAGAAAAUAAAAUGGUGCAAAGAGGAGCAAACAUUGCAGGGCCUCAUUCUUCUUUUGUGACCUACAGCCUCAACGAGAGUUUUUACAGAAAUGGAACACCACGGAACAGCAAAUUUGGGACCCCUGUCACUUGACAAAAGAAAUGUUUGGCUCAGAAUGCUAUUUUUCUUAAAUAAACAAAAUAGGUAAAAAUGAAAGGAACAAGCAAUGCUGGAAAGGAACAAAAUAGGAAGGAACUCCAUAAUGAAAGAGGUUAUCAUCCAGGAGUUAUACCCAGCUUGUUUUUAAACCUGCAAAGGGAAGAUAAUGUGAACAAAGCAGUGAUGGCUCUCAGGUUCCUCCCCAGGUACCAGGAGAGCAGUGGGGCUGUUUUGGAUCACCUGAGCACAGAUACUGGAGUGCUCUUCACCUCAUGUCUGUCACUGAGAGCUACAUGUGGUUGCUAA